UAGGGAAUCUUCCACAAUGGACGCAAGUCUGAUGGAGCAACGCCGCGUGAGUGAAGAAGGCUUUCGGGUCGUAAAACUCUGUUGUUGGAGAAGAAUGGUCGGCAGAGUAACUGUUGUCGGCGUGACGGUAUCCAACCAGAAAGCCACGGCUAACUACGUGCCAGCAGCCGCGGUAAUACGUAGGUGGCAAGCGUUAUCCGGAUUUAUUGGGCGUAAAGCGAGCGCAGGCGGUUUUUUAAGUCUGAUGUGAAAGCCCUCGGCUUAACCGAGGAAGCGCAUCGGAAACUGGGAAACUUGAGUGCAGAAGAGGACAGUGGAACUCCAUGUGUAGCGGUGAAAUGCGUAGAUAUAUGGAAGAACACCAGUGGCGAAGGCGGCUGUCUGGUCUGUAACUGACGCUGAGGCUCGAAAGCAUGGGUAGCGAACAGGAUUAGAUACCCUGGUAGUCCAUGCCGUAAACGAUGAAUGCUAGGUGUUGGAGGGUUUCCGCCCUUG
Molecule: ribosomal RNA, 495 nt
Filed under: uncultured bacterium
Lineage: Bacteria
Description: partial 16S ribosomal RNA
Rfam family: Bacterial small subunit ribosomal RNA
Source: RNAcentral